Molecule: ribosomal RNA, 364 nt
Filed under: uncultured bacterium
Lineage: Bacteria
Description: bacterial SSU rRNA
Rfam family: Bacterial small subunit ribosomal RNA
Source: RNAcentral
UAGGGAAUUUUGGGCAAUGGGCGAAAGCCUGACCCAGCAACGCCGCGUGUGGGAUGAAGGCCCUCGGGUCGUAAACCACUGUCAGGAGGAAAGAAAAGUCGGCCGGAUAAUACUCGGUCGACCUGACGGUACCUCCAAAGGAAGCACCGGCUAACUCCGUGCCAGCAGCCGCGGUAAUACGGAGGGUGCAAGCGUUGUUCGGAAUUACUGGGCGUAAAGGGGCGCGUAGGCGGUCCUGUCAGUCCCUUGUGAAAUCCCCCGGCUCAACUGGGGAACUGCAAGGGAUACAGCAGGGCUUGAGUUCGGGAGAGGGAAGCGGAAUUCCGGGUGUAGCGGUGAAAUGCGUAGAUAUCCGGAGGAACAC